UACGUAGGGUGCGAGCGUUGUCCGGAAUUAUUGGGCGUAAAGAGCUUGUAGGCGGUUUGUCGCGUCUGCUGUGAAAAUCCGGGGCUCAACCCCGGACUUGCAGUGGGUACGGGCAGACUAGAGUGUGGUAGGGGAGACUGGAAUUCCUGGUGUAGCGGUGAAAUGCGCAGAUAUCAGGAAGAACACCCGUGGCGAAGGCGGCUCUCUGGAACGCAAACUGGACGCUGAAGACGCGAAAAGCCGUGGGGGAGCAAACAGG
RNAcentral lists this ribosomal RNA (259 nucleotides) under uncultured bacterium. RNAcentral's name for it is "partial 16S ribosomal RNA". It matches the Rfam family "Bacterial small subunit ribosomal RNA", at positions 524 to 776 of the family's 1533-position model. The record is from RNAcentral.